CAGCAGCCGCGGUAAUACGUAGGUGGCAAGCGUUGUCCGGAAUUAUUGGGCGUAAAGCGAGCGCAGGCGGUUAGAUAAGUCUGAAGUUAAAGGCUGUGGCUUAACCAUAGUACGCUUUGAAAACUGUUUAACUUGAGUGCAAGAGGGGAGAGUGGGAUUCCAUGUGUAGCGGUGAAAUGCGUAGAUAUAUGGAGGAACACCGGUGGCGAAAGAGGCUCUCUGGCUUGUAACUGACGCUGAGGAGCGAAAGCGUGGGGAGCGAACAGGAUUAGAUACCCCGGUAGUCCCUGUCUCUUAUACA
RNAcentral lists this ribosomal RNA (301 nucleotides) under uncultured bacterium. RNAcentral's name for it is "partial 16S ribosomal RNA". It matches the Rfam family "Bacterial small subunit ribosomal RNA", at positions 509 to 808 of the family's 1533-position model. The record is from RNAcentral.